The sequence is a ribosomal RNA, 404 nucleotides long. It matches the Rfam family "Bacterial small subunit ribosomal RNA", at positions 355 to 774 of the family's 1533-position model.
UGGGGAAUAUUGCACAAUGGACGAAAGUCUGAUGCAGCGACGCCGCGUGAGGGAAGAAGGUUUUCGGAUUGUAAACCUCUGUCCCAUGGGAAGAAACAAUGACGGUACCAUGGGAGGAAGCCACGGCUAACUACGUGCCAGCAGCCGCGGUAAAACGUAGGUGGCAAGCGUUGUCCGGAAUUACUGGGUGUAAAGGGAGCGCAGGUGGGAUGUCAAGUCGAAUGUGAAAUCUACGGGCUCAACCCGUAAAUUGCGUUCGAUACUGAUGUUCUUGAGUGGAGUAGAGGCAAGCGGAAUUCCCGGUGUAGCGGUGGAAUGCGUAGAUAUCGGGAGGAACACCAGUGGCGAAGGCGGCUUGCUGGGCUCUAACUGACACUGAGGCUCGAAAGCGUGGGGAGCAAACA